UUCACUUGCGGAGAUACCGGGGAAUCUUGCAUUCUUCUUUCUGCCAACCAACCCAGCAGAUCCUCCAGUUUUCCAUCGGUACCAGGUUACAAGCAACCCAACGCUACCAUUGGGACCCACCCGUUGGCUCCGCCUUUUCUACCUUUCUCUCGCCACAACACGGGUACCCAAGCGGGUAGCGAAUGAUAAAUCUCCAUCACCCUUCCUCGCUUUCAAUUCUUUUUCUUCGACGAUUUGAUUCGCUUUUCAAAUCGCAUCCCUUCUCCACCGAUCCAGAAGAACGGCCGGCGUCGGACGAUGGCCACCCGGUGAGUGAGUUCUAUCUUCCCUUCUCCCUCUCCGCUCGCGAUUCGACUUGUCGAUCUCUGGACGCAGCGGUUUAUCGAUCUUUUCCUAUCCUUGUUCUCUCUCUUCUCUUUCUGGAUGUAACAAUGGGGGAAUCGGUCGAUAAACCUCUGCAUCCGGACUUCCGCAUCCUCCUCCCUCUUCUUUUUUUCUUGAUUUAUCCGUUUGAUUAUUUGGAUCUUGCGAGGGGGAUGCGUUGUUCUUGCAAUCUGAACUUGCAGAUCCACUGGCACUGUGAUUGAUGCCGAGUCGGUUGGAAAUUUGUCCGGUGACAAUACUAUGAUCUCUCAACUUUUCUUUCCUGUAAAUCUAUUCGGAAAUGCUUAUCUAUGUUGUUCUUAGCAACGGAAGGCCAGAAAUUUGUCUUUUUUUGGAAGCUAUGCAGGUCCUUGCGGCUGUUGGGUACUUUCGAACCUGAUGAUUGUUAGCCUGAGCUUGAAUCAGCAAUUGACAUUCACAAACGGGAUCCAAGACAAUGGGACAAGUGAGACAGGAAGCAUUGGCUAGUGAGCCAGCUCGGGACCACGACAGCACAACCCGAAGAUAUUCCAGUUUAGUUUUCGCAUUAACUUAUGUCUUAAGAACCAUCUAUAUAAUUGUCUUGAAUUGAGAACUCACUAUGGAAGUAUGAACAAGUGACAUCCAUAGUUAUAUUUAUAUGAUUUGUUAAAAAAAAAAAAAAACUUGAGGCGUUACAGGAUUGGUCUCGACCCAGCCAAUCUGGUUGGUCCAGUCAGAGAAGCAUAAGCAACACCGCCAACUUAUUGGGAAUACAAUAUGUAAGUCACAUUCUUGUGUGUUAUACAACAUCAAUGAGCAGAAACCAAUUUACUUGAAA
Molecule: RNA transcript, 1183 nt
Organism: Zingiber officinale
Lineage: Eukaryota; Viridiplantae; Streptophyta; Magnoliopsida; Zingiberales; Zingiberaceae
Exons: 2
Source: RefSeq, a predicted model, not a curated record